UGCAGUCGAGCGGAACGAUGUAGCUUGCUACAGGCGUCGAGCGGCGGACGGGUGAGUAACGCGUAGGAACCUACCUAGUAGUUUGGGAUAGCCCAGAGAAAUUUGGAUUAAUACCGAAUACGCCCCACGGGGGAAAGCGGAGGAUCUUCGGACUUCGCGCUAUUAGAUGGGCCUGCGUAAGAUUAGCUUGUUGGUGAGGUAAUGGCUCACCAAGGCAACGAUCUUUAGCUGGUUUGAGAGGAUGAUCAGCCACACUGGGACUGAGACACGGCCCAGACUCCUACGGGAGGCAGCAGUGGGGAAUAUUGCACAAUGGGCGAAAGCCUGAUGUAGCCAUACCGCGUGUGUGAAGAAGGCUCUAGGGUUGUAAAGCACUUUCAGUAGGGAGGAAAGGUUGUAGAUUAAUACUCUGCAGCUGUGACGUUACCUACAGAAGAAGGACCGGCUAACUCCGUGCCAGCAGCCGCGGUAAUACGGAGGGUCCGAGCGUUAAUCGGAAUUACUGGGCGUAAAGCGUACGUA
This 522-nucleotide ribosomal RNA is filed under the name uncultured bacterium. Its description in RNAcentral is "bacterial SSU rRNA". It matches the Rfam family "Bacterial small subunit ribosomal RNA", at positions 56 to 573 of the family's 1533-position model. The record is from RNAcentral.